This is a long non-coding RNA of Dama dama (fallow deer), 586 nucleotides long. RefSeq lists it as uncharacterized. The record is from RefSeq and is a predicted model, not a curated record. Lineage: Eukaryota; Metazoa; Chordata; Mammalia; Artiodactyla; Cervidae. The transcript is spliced from 3 exons.
AGCCUGAUGGAGACUCUGGGAGGAAGAAUUAAGGGUGGACCUGGACUUUGAUCUUUGGUCUCUCAGUGAUGAAGGAAACAGAGAAGAAAACACUUCAAACUGAGACCUGCAACAUAGAAAUAAGAAGAAUAACUCUUAAGAUGGUAUUUAGAUUGCUUACGAAGAUCUUAGCAGCUGCCCACAGUCCCUAAUGGAGGGUGUAGGCCCUGACUAAGCAGGUCAGAGCCAAGUCAUUUUCCUGGAAGCAGGAAUUAGCAGAGACCAGAAAGGAGAGUGUCAAAGAGGAUGACCUUGGACUUAAUUCCGCCAGUGGAAGGCAUGUCGGUGUGCCAAUUUCAAGCCUAGACCUCGAGAGGUCUUGAAUGCUUCUGCUUUCUAUCUCUUGGAGCUUUGUCCAAGCACCAGGUGAAUGCACAAACCCAGGCCAGCCUGUUGGUGAAAGAGAGACCAAACGGAACAGAGUUGAGCUGUGUCAUCCUAGAGCAUCCUACACCAGCCAACCCCAAGCUAACUCAGCACCGGACUGAGCCAGAGGAAAUCAGAACCUGCCUAGCUGAGUCCAUCCCACGUUGCCAACCUGGAGACC